CAAGAAGGACCGUCGUCUCCUUUUCCCAGCGUCCAUUAAUCGAUGAAUUUGGAAAGUCAGCUCCAAUAAUCUUCUAUUCCCACAAAAUCACUUACCCAGAUAGGACCAUUGGAGGAACUGGUCAGUCAAAGUUGCACUAGAGUCUCGCUAUCUUUCGUUUUUGGAUUCUUCUUUUUUCUUCAUUUUCCUUUAAUUUUUUAUUCUAUCACACUGAAAGAGUAAUUUCCAAAGCAUAAUUGGCUUGAUGUUCGUGGAAAGGAAGAUGAUUGCAGUAGAUUGAUAGUAGGGGUGGCAAACGGACGGGACGGGUCGGGUCGGAUAUGAGCCGGUCAAAAUAGGUAAUUCAAAAAACAAAUAAAUUAUCUGACCCAACCCGUAUUUGUGAGUUAAUAAACAAUGACUUAUCCGGCGAAUAAUAUCACUUCUUGAAUAUGAUCUC
Molecule: long non-coding RNA, 439 nt
Filed under: Nicotiana tabacum (common tobacco)
Lineage: Eukaryota; Viridiplantae; Streptophyta; Magnoliopsida; Solanales; Solanaceae
Description: long non-coding RNA (NTAB_LNC013640)
Source: RNAcentral